AACGCACAUUGCGCCUCUCUUUCGAGAGGCAUGCCUGUCUGAGCGUCAUUUAAAUCAAAUGAGACUUGGGUCUCGUGUUGGGCAUCGCCCUUGGGCGUAGCCUCGAUGCCAUCGGUCUUAAUGAGCGGGCGAGUUCCUCUAGGACGGACCACUCAUGGCCUGAAGACUUCUGAAUUGACCUCAGAUCAGGUAGGACUACCGCCUGAACUUAA
This 212-nucleotide unclassified non-coding RNA is filed under the name uncultured fungus. RNAcentral's name for it is "partial contains 5.8S ribosomal RNA, internal transcribed spacer 2, and large subunit ribosomal RNA". The record is from RNAcentral. Lineage: Eukaryota; Fungi.